UCUGCAGCCCGACUUGAACGGAAAUCCUUUUUUGCUUGUCCUCAUGUUCAAUUUGAACUGAAAACAUCUUGCAAAAAAGAUUGGGAGUGGAAGGCGGAAAAGCUG
Molecule: small RNA, 105 nt
Filed under: Epilithonimonas lactis
Lineage: Bacteria; Pseudomonadati; Bacteroidota; Flavobacteriia; Flavobacteriales; Weeksellaceae
Description: Chryseobacterium halperniae Flavo-1 RNA
Source: RNAcentral